RNAcentral lists this ribosomal RNA (208 nucleotides) under uncultured bacterium. RNAcentral's name for it is "partial 16S ribosomal RNA". It matches the Rfam family "Bacterial small subunit ribosomal RNA", at positions 568 to 774 of the family's 1533-position model. The record is from RNAcentral.
CACGCAGGCGGUCUGAUCAGCGGAGGGUACAAGCUCGGGGGCUCAACCCCGAAGUCGCUCUCCGAACUGUCAGACUAGAGCACGGGAGAGGGUAGUGGAAUUCCCGGUGUAGCGGUGGAAUGCGUAAAUAUCGGGAGGAACACCAGUGGCGAAGGCUGCUACCUGGAACGUUGCUGACGCUGAGGCGCGAAAGCCAGGGGAGCGAACG